Molecule: ribosomal RNA, 570 nt
Filed under: uncultured archaeon
Lineage: Archaea
Description: bacterial SSU rRNA
Rfam family: Archaeal small subunit ribosomal RNA
Source: RNAcentral
AACCUACCCUUGGGAUGGAGAUAACUCCAGGAAACUGGGGCUAAUACCCAAUAAGUGAAAGUGCCUGGAAUGGUCUUUCGCUGAAAGGGCGUCGGGAACACGCUCUCGACGUUGCCCAAGGACGGGACUGCGGCCGAUCAGGUAGUUGGUAGGGUAAUGGCCUACCAAGCCUAUAACCGGUACGGGCCCUGAGAGGGGGAGCCUGGAGAUGGGAACUGAGACAAUGUCCCAGGCCCUAAGGGGUGCAGCAGGCGCGAAAACUCCACAAUGCACGAAAGUGUGAUGGGGUUAUCCCGAGUGCCAUCCGCUUAGGAUGGCUUUUCCCCGGUGUAAGGAGCCGGGGGAAUAAGAGGGGGGCAAGACUGGUGUCAGCCGCCGCGGUAAUACCAGCCCCUCGAGUGGUAGGGACGAUUAUUUAGCCUAAAGCGUUCGUAGCCGGCUUUGUAAGUCCCUCGUGAAAUCCGACGAUUCAAUCGUCGGGCGUGCAAGGGAUACUGUUAAGCUAGGGGACGGGAGAAGUCGACGGUAGUCCCGGGGUAGGGGUGAAAUCUUAUAAUCCUGGGAGGACCA